UUGACGGUACCCUACUAGAACGGAGCCGCUAACUUCGUGCCAGAAGCGUCGGUAAUACGGGGGCUCCAAGCGUUAUCCGGUGUUAUUGGGCGUAAAGAGUCGUGUAGGUGGUUGGGUAAGUCAUCUUUCAAAUAUCUUUGCUUAACAAAGAGGAGGGGGAUAAUACUGCUCGACUAGAAUUUUCUCAAGGGAGAUCGGAACUGAGGGAGGAGUAGUGAAAUGCGUUGAUACCCUCGGGAACACCAGUGGCGUAGGCGGAUCUCUGGGAGAAGAUUGACACUGAGACACGAAAGCUAGGGGAGCGAAGCAGAUUAGAGACCUGCGUAGUCCUAGCCGUAAACGCAUGCUUGCUAGCUGCAUGAAUCUACCUUCGGGUGGUAUCGUGUGGCGAAGGUAACCCGUUAAGCAAGCCGCCUGGAAAGUACGGCCGCAAGGCUGAAAUUCAAAGGAAUUGGCGGGGAGGCACACAACCAGUGGAACAUGUGGUUUAAUUCGAGACUAACCGAAGAACCUCACCAGGGUUUGACGUGUAGCUGCACGUCUUAAGAAAUUAAGACUCUCUUGAAGGUGCUACACAGGUGCUGCAUGGCUGUCGUCAGCUCGUUCCGUGAGGAGUGCCCUUAAGUGGGACAACGAGCGCAACCCCUAUUACAUGUUAGAAAUGUCAUGUAAGACUGCCUUGCCAUUUGGCGGGGAGGAAGGAGGGGCAGACGUCAAGUCCGCAUGGUCCUUAUGCCCUGGGCUACACACAUGUUACAAUGAGUACGGCAAUGAGUCUGUCGCGAGCACGUAAGUGUAAGCUAAUCUCUUAAAUGUACUCUCAGUGGGGAUUGAGGUCUGCAACUCGACCUCAUGAACACGGAAUUGGUAGUAAUCGCGGGUCAGCUAUACCGCGGUGAUACGUUCUUGCCUCUUGCACACACCGCCCGUCAAACCAGCAAAGU
This 944-nucleotide ribosomal RNA is filed under the name uncultured organism. RNAcentral describes it as "bacterial SSU rRNA". It matches the Rfam family "Bacterial small subunit ribosomal RNA", at positions 469 to 1411 of the family's 1533-position model. The record is from RNAcentral.